CCCUUAGAUGUCCGGGGCCGCACGCGCGCUACACUGAAGGAAUCAGCGUGGCUUUCUCCCUGACCCGAAGGGUUGGGAAACCCGUUGAAUCUCCUUCGUGAUAGGGAUUGGGGCUUGAAAUUGUUCCCCAUGAACGAGGAAUUCCCAGUAAGCGCGAGUCAUAAGCUCGCGUUGAUUACGUCCCUGCCCUUUGUACACACCGCCCGUCGCUACUACCGAUUGAACGGUUUAGUGAGGGCCUCGGAUUGGUCUCGGCCCGCUCUUUACCGGGCGGCGCCGUUGGUCGAGAAGACGCUCGAACUUGAUCGUUUAGAGGAAGUAAAAGUCGUAACA
This 333-nucleotide ribosomal RNA is filed under the name uncultured eukaryote. Its description in RNAcentral is "partial 18S ribosomal RNA". It matches the Rfam family "Eukaryotic small subunit ribosomal RNA", at positions 1470 to 1796 of the family's 1831-position model. The record is from RNAcentral.